This 65-nucleotide transfer RNA is filed under the name Myrmoplasta mira. RNAcentral's name for it is "tRNA-Pro". Lineage: Eukaryota; Metazoa; Arthropoda; Insecta; Hemiptera; Pyrrhocoridae. The record is from RNAcentral.
CAGAAUAUAGUUUAUUUAGAAUUUUAAUUUUGGGGAUUAAGGGAAAAUACAUAAUUUUGUUCUGA